CCGGCGCUUGUCGGCUCCUCUCUAAAUGCAUUAGCUCGGAUCAUACGUGUUCGAUCUGCGGUGUGAUAAACGUCUACCCGUGCGAUUGACGCCUCGCAUGAAUGGCUAUACCGUUGGCUUUCGAGCCGGCAGCGCUUCGGCCGUGUAAAGCUUUUUUGUGCGAGUUGGUCUGGCUUCCAAUCGCCUUCUAGGCAAUCUUAUGACAUCUGAGCUCAAAUCAGGUAGGACUACCCGCUGAACUUAAGCAUAUCAAUAAGCGGAGGAAAAGAAACUAACAAGGAUUCCCCUAGUAACUGCGAGUGGAGCGGGAAAAGCUCAAAUUUAAAAUCUGGCGUCUUCGGCGUCCGAGUUGUAUUCUGGAGAAGCGUUUUCCGCGC
RNAcentral lists this ribosomal RNA (377 nucleotides) under uncultured fungus. RNAcentral describes it as "eukaryotic LSU rRNA". The stretch from base 208 to 377 matches the Rfam family "Eukaryotic large subunit ribosomal RNA", at positions 1 to 170 of the family's 3401-position model. The record is from RNAcentral. Lineage: Eukaryota; Fungi.